UACCAGCACCCCGAGUGGUCGGGACGAUUAUUGGGCCUAAAGCAUCCGUAGCCGGCCUUACAAGUCCUCCGUUAAAUCCAGCUGCUUAACAGAUGGGCUGCGGAGGAUACUAUAAGACUAGGAGGCAGGAGAGGCAAGCGGUACUCAGUGGGUAGGGGUAAAAUCCGUAGAGAUGUGAAGGAACACCGGGGGCGAAGGCGCCUACCUAGACGAAUAUUGACGCUGAGGCGCGAAAGCGUGGGGAGCAAACAGG
This 253-nucleotide ribosomal RNA is filed under the name uncultured bacterium. Its description in RNAcentral is "partial 16S ribosomal RNA". The stretch from base 27 to 253 matches the Rfam family "Bacterial small subunit ribosomal RNA", at positions 550 to 776 of the family's 1533-position model. The record is from RNAcentral.